Molecule: long non-coding RNA, 516 nt
Filed under: Lathyrus oleraceus (garden pea)
Lineage: Eukaryota; Viridiplantae; Streptophyta; Magnoliopsida; Fabales; Fabaceae
Description: Pisum sativum (pea) long non-coding RNA (PSAT_LNC014983)
Source: RNAcentral
AACUAAAAUAAUAAUUAAAUCUUAACUCUAUCAUAAAAAUAAAUUUUUAUGCUAGUCAUUUUACUUAAUAAUUUAUUAAUGUAAAAAUUAAUAAUCUAUUAUUUUUAUUUAAUGUAAAUCAUUUUCUUAUAUAUCAGAGGAAGAAGUAUACACAUAGAAUGAAGCUAAGAAAAUAAAAAAAUUAAAAGAAAACAUAAAUAAAUAGUCUAAGAAGUACUCCAUCGAAUAAGGGUAAGAUAGUAAGUAUAAGCUAUUCAUUGGCUAUAAAAUGAUCUGGAGUCCAAAUUAGGUUUCCAAAUGCCUUGAAAGAACCGGGCGUAGCAGCUAACAUUUGCGUCUGAGUUCCGUUGCGGUCAUACAACAAAUCUUCAAUUCCUUUUCUCUAUUCUUCUGCAACAAUUUAUAGCUUUGAAAGGAUUUGUAUAAUUUUCUAUUUGUUUAUUUCUUUGAUAAUUUAUUUUCGGCCGAUCCAAUAGGUUCUCUGUAAAUUCUGUUAUGAGAUCUCUAUUUCACCCG